Molecule: microRNA precursor, 65 nt
Filed under: Bombyx mori (domestic silkworm)
Lineage: Eukaryota; Metazoa; Arthropoda; Insecta; Lepidoptera; Bombycidae
Description: mir-2774 microRNA precursor family
Rfam family: mir-2774 microRNA precursor family
Source: Rfam by way of RNAcentral
AAAGUCCGGAUCGUCGGUCUACCGAGCAAUUUUACCCGCUUGGUGGAAGAUCUUUUGUUAAACCU